GUGCUCAUUACAGCAGCAUAUAUAUUAAAAUCGGAACAAUACAGAGAACAUUAGCAUGGCCCUUGAGUAAGGAUGACAUGCAAAUUGGUGAAGUGUUCUAUAUUUUU
This 107-nucleotide small nuclear RNA is filed under the name Propithecus coquereli (Coquerel's sifaka). The record is from RNAcentral. Lineage: Eukaryota; Metazoa; Chordata; Mammalia; Primates; Indriidae.